This 71-nucleotide transfer RNA is filed under the name Bos taurus (domestic cattle). It matches the Rfam family "tRNA". From Rfam's summary of the family: Transfer RNA (tRNA) molecules are approximately 80 nucleotides in length. Their secondary structure includes four short double-helical elements and three loops (D, anti-codon, and T loops). Lineage: Eukaryota; Metazoa; Chordata; Mammalia; Artiodactyla; Bovidae. The record is from Rfam by way of RNAcentral. RNAcentral also lists the same sequence under 2 other names.
UCCCUGGUAGCUCAUUGGUAAAGAAUCUGUCUGCAGCACAGGAGACCCAGGUUUGAUCCCUGGGUCGGGAA